AUAAUAGCCAUCCUAACAGGUGUGAAGUAGUACCUCAUCGUAGCUUUGAUUUGCAUUUCCCUAAUAAUUAAGCAUAUUGGACAUCUUUUCAUGUGUCUAUUGGCCGCCUGUAUGUCUCCUUUGGAAAAAUGUCUCUUCAGCUCCUCUGCUCCCUUUUUAAUCUCCUUGUUUGUUUUUUGUUGUGGUUGAGUUGUAUAAGGUCUUUAAAAGGGACAGCAGUAGAUUCAAAGACUACAUUACUUGAGAUGCUGCUGGCAGAACAGGUCAACACUGGCACAGAAGCCACGUCAAAACAGGUCAGGUGCUCAGAAGGGCUGGCCCAAUGCCUCCAUUGUUGGAACCAUCGACUUACCCAACACACACUUGGUAAUGGAACACUGUGUCACUAGCAGGCAGGGAUAAAUCCAAGAAGAAAGGAAAAGAGCAUACCUGCUACACAAACUCCAAUUGCUCGAAACUGUUAAAGAGAAUACUUGUAAAUGGGAACCAGACCAGUGAGAGAGAAACUACUGUAAAGUCUUUCUGUAUCUUGUCUGGCUGUGACAAGAGAGAGUGGCAUAGGCAAUGUUUUCUUAACAAGAGGAUCAGCCUGCCCCAGGGAGACCCCCAGGAGAAAUAUUCCAUUUGAACCACUAUGUUCUGUCCUAUUUAAAAGAUGUUUCCAGCAAAUCCUUUUACCUUAGUCCUCAUGUAAAUAAUAAAACCCAAGAGAACCACUUGCUUGCUUUCUCUUUUCAAGCAAAGACUACUUGUAACUGCUAAGCCUGUCUCCUUUUAACUAGUAAAUAGAGUUAAAUUUAAAAAUUGGGAGUUCCCGUUGUGGCUCAGUGGUAAUGAACCCGACUGGUAUCCAUGAGGAUGAGGGUUCCAUCCCUGGCCUCGCUCAGUGGGUUAAAGGAUCAGUGUUGCCAUGAGCUUUGGUGUAGGUCCCAGACAUAGCUCAGAUCCUACAUUUCUGAGGCUGUGGUAUAGGCCAACAACUGUCGCUCCGAUUCAAACCCUAGCCUGGGAACUUCCAUAUGCCGCAGACGUGGUCCUAAAAAGCAAAAAAAAAAAAAAAAAAAUAGGUCCUACUUCAUCUACGUUGGACCAGAAUUCAGAUUAAAGGUUCAUUUUGUCAAAGAUAACCCUUUAUCUCUUGGAUAACUCUGGUCAUAUCAAGUAGAAAUUAUCAUAAUUAAACUUUUUAAACCAGAUUUUUUGGUGUGUGUGUCAAUAUAGGAAAACCAGCAGAUUGAACAGUUCUCUCCACAGGUUAAACGAGGUUGUUAGGAACCUCAGAGAAGCAAAUCAUGAAGGAGAGAGAAAAGAAAGAUUGGAGACAAAACUUGACAAAUCUACAAAGAACCAGGGCAGAAAAAGAGACAAAUUGGGAGCUAAGAAAUACAGGAACAAAUCUUCUCAACAUGAAUUUGAUUUGGCAUGGGGCCUCUGACCCUUUCAGAUCCAAUCUCUUAAGCUUCUCUUUGUAUUUUUCCAUUUUACUGCAUGCUUGCUACACACCCAUCUAAGUGAGUCCCUGGUGCUUGAUUUUAGUGAUUUACCUAAAAUUGGCAAUAAAAGGUGUUUCUGGGCCAUGACGUUUAGAAUAUAAGGAACAGUCAAUUAUUAGGAUUACUAGAGAAGAGAGUCUUGAUUGCUGGAGCAGUGAGGCGAGGAGUCCCUGCAGAGAGCUGCCAUUUGCAACCACCCAGGCCAACGGAGCACAAUUUGAGGUGGGAAGAGGGGGGAAUUGCCAUGAACCUCUUGAGAAAAGUAGCACUGGCUUUGAGUUGUCAGUGAAAAAUCAGGAAUGAUUUUUACCACAAUAAAACAUCUCAAAAUUGGAAUAAGCCUACCUAAAUUCCAAGUUACGUCCAUGCAAUAGAAUCAGACCGUAUUGCACUAACUUUCCCAGAGAGUGCUAAUGAAUACACAACUGGACUUUCGUGGCUUAAAAUUCCAACAGUACUUUGAAACUAUAGCCAGAAUUUAUUGAAAUUCAGAGGAACAUCUGGGGUAGGGCAGGGUCAGGGGGCUGCCUUGAUUAACUCUUUAGAAGGAGUAGAAUUUUACCUGAGGUCGUGCUGAGUGUUAAACAGUGAAUUCAUGGUCAUGGAAAAUUACGGUGAAAGUUAGCAGUGGGUAGACAAAUUAGGGCUUUUUUUAAAAAAAUGGUUAUAUAUGUCUCAAUAUAAUCAUCAGAGGAUGCAUGCUAAUUAAUAUCAAUAAGACUUUAAAAUCACAACACAAUACUUGAGAGCUGACAAGUCUAUCAAUUGUUAAAAAGAAACUAUCUAAUUUACAAACAAGCUAUGAUAACAAAAAUAACCAAUACUAAUAGAAGUUUUGUUCCUAAAAUGCAAGUUUCCUAAUAAUUUUUCAUCAGAAAACAACUACUUUAGAAAUAACACAGAACUGUUUCACUGUCUAUAGGCCCAGCUUCUUUAUAAUUGGCUUGAAUCCCACCUUCGUUGUUGCUGCCUUCCCUCUGUGACCACCUAUAACCCUCAUCUUGGCACCUAUCUAGUUGUUUGAAUUAAUUCUUUUUUUUUUUAUUUGUCCACAUCACAGCAUAUGUAAGUUCCCAGGUCAGGGAUUGAAUCUGAGAUGCAGUUGCAACCUGCACCACAGCUGCACCAAUGCCCAAUCCUUAAUCCAUUGUGCUACAGCAAGAACUCCAGAAUUAAUUCUUUAUUUGUUUCAUUUAUUUAUUGAUUUAUUUAUCAUUUUGCUUUUUAGGGCCGCAGGUGCAGCAUAUGGAAGUUCCCAGGCUAGGGGUGGAAUGGGAAGUACAGCUGCCAGCCUAUGCCACUGCCAUAACAACUGGGAAUCUGAGCCACGCCUGCAACCUAUACCACAGCUCACAGCAAUGCCAGAUCCUUGACUACUGAGCAAGGCCAGGGAUGGAAUUUGAAUCCUCAUGGACAGUACUCAGAUUCAUUUCUGAUGCACCACAUGGGAACUCCUUAAUUCAUUUUUUAAAUGAUGUAUGUGUCCUGCUUUGUUUAGGACACUCUCAGUAUCUAAGGGUAGGGCUCAUAUCUUCCAAAGGAUCUAGAAAAAUACAAUAAUAUUUCUGUGGCUUGGUGUUUGAAAAAUAAGCUGACUAGUAGCUCAAGUUGUCUCUUUGGUUUUUUAUACUCAGAAAUGAAAUGAAAUGAAAUUUUUGGAUUUAGCUUAAAAGAUUCCUAAAUCAAGAGGAUUUUUUAUCCCAAAUCUGCAUGUCAGAAUGGCAUUCUGACCUAUGACCUAUAACUAGAGAUACUGAGAGAAACCAAACUAUGCUAUGAUUAUUUUGUCAUCCUUGUUCAUUUUCCCGAAAAUGUAUUCAACCAGUUUUCUAAUAUAUCAUAAUGGGUGAGAUCAACGUGAUCCGUAACAGUUUCAAAGCUUCAACGUGAUCCUGUGUGUGGCAGGAUCACAGUUCAUUUACUUUUCAAACAUUUAGCGAGCCCCUGUUCCCUGUGUGGAAGGCUUGAGAGAACAACUACUAUUUGCACAGCAGCUUAGAGUCAGCAAAGCCCUUCUCCACACAUUUUCUCUUUAGACCUUCAGGGCAACCCUGAAAGGUAGGUAGGCAGGUGUCACCGGUGACCUUUUACAGGGUAGAGAAAUAAGAAGCCCAGAAACAAGAGAAUGAGAACCCAGCGCAGAGUCAUUUGAACAUUUCCCACUUUGUCUCUAGAAGUUUUAUUUUGAAAUCAAUCCUUAGGAUUCAGAUGACCGAGUUCUAAGAAUUCCAGGCAUUUAAGAUUUUAGUGUUUUCACAGCAAAAGUGUUUUGAUUUGAUAUUCUUCAGCAAUGUUAUCAUUUAUUGACAGCUCACUUAGUACUUCCCAAGGCUCUUGUGCAGCUGUUUGACAACACUGCUUCAUCACUUUCCCUGAGCUGUCAAACAUCCUGCAAACCUAUCUCAUGCCA
This 3903-nucleotide long non-coding RNA is filed under the name Sus scrofa (pig). RNAcentral's name for it is "lncRNA (ENSSSCG00025063333.1)". Lineage: Eukaryota; Metazoa; Chordata; Mammalia; Artiodactyla; Suidae. The record is from RNAcentral.